Molecule: long non-coding RNA, 1266 nt
Filed under: Homo sapiens (human)
Lineage: Eukaryota; Metazoa; Chordata; Mammalia; Primates; Hominidae
Description: long intergenic non-protein coding RNA 2934
Source: RNAcentral
GUUCAAUCCCAGGUCGUUUUCCCUUUCAGCUGCAAUGCCGGGAUUUUAAAUAGCAGAGAUGAAAGGCCCCUGCCCCCGCCUCCCUCCUCCCCUGAGUUCAUGUAUUAUGAAUGAAACGGCAGCCUCGCUGCUUCCUGAGGUGCUCCACUUCAGGCUGGGGUGCAAUGGCUCGAUCUCGGCUCAGUGCAACCUCUGCUUCCCGGGUUCAAGUGAUUCUCCUGCGUCAGCCUCCCAAGCAGCUGUGAAUACAGGUUGGAGUGCAGUGGUGCUGUGUCUGGAGUUUGUUCCUGCCGUUGGGUUUGUGGUCUUGCUGACUUCAAGAAUGAAGCCACGGACCUUCACGUCCAUCGCCUUGGCUUAGUGCAUGUCACCAAAAAUUCUCCAGGAAUUUCAUAGUUUGGACCUUGGUGGCAUGGCUGGCCCUGGAUUAUCCAUGCAGGGAGGCCUGAUCCUGUGACAGCUGGCUGCAGCAGGGGGCUGCCCAUCUUCUGUGCUUUGUGGUACAUAUCUGUGUCACCAAAGUAGCGGCCUCGGUACAGCAAGCCUUUCAUCUGCUGCUUCUCCGUCCAGCAGUUGUUCCAGAGGUUGGCGAUAUAAUCAUCUUUCACAUUCGGUUUGACUGUUUGGAGGCUGGAGCCUGUGUACUCCUCGGAGAAAAUGCCUGCCACAUAGUAGAUGACACUCAGGUGGUCAGUGACUCGCCUGUGAUGUGGCCCACAAACAGUCUUGGGCUCAGACUGUAGGGUGGACUGGAGACCAUGAGCUGGCUGAGAGCUGACAUGAGGAUGAGGAUGGGUAUCAGCUGCACGAACACCCGCAAGCUGCCGUCACUCCGCUUCUCCCUGCAGCCCUGCCUUUGCUGAUACACACACAGGCACAUUGGAAACGCAGUAGAAAAUGGCUGCCAAUUUAAAACCAGAAGUUAAGAAGAGCAAACUCGAAUGUACAGCAAGAGAGCUUCAGGCUGGACUGGCUUCCAGCAGAAGUGGGACUGGAAACCUCGGAUUCUAUUGUCUCUUCUCUGUGAAGUGGGAAAACAUGUCAGUAUCUGAACUUGAGCUUGGUAAUUACUGCUCAUUUCUCAACCUUUUCCAAGCCACGUAACUCCCCUAAGGCUUAGUUUUCUUAUCUGUGAAUUGCGAGAUGGUAUGUUCUUCAUCACGAGGUUGCUAUAAAGACUGAAUGAGAUAAUGUGUGUGGAAGCACCAAGCAUGGUCCUUGGCAUGCAGUAGAUGCUCAAUAAAUAUGAACUGGAGUACACAUGCA